AUUGAACGCUGGCGGCAUGCCUUACACAUGCAAGUCGAACGGUAACAGGUCUUCGGUUGCUGACGAUUGGCGAACGGGUGAGUAAUACAUCGGAACGUGCCCGAUCGUGGGGGAUAACGAGGCGACAGCUUUGCUAAUACCGCAUCCGAUCUACGGAUGAAAGCGGGGGAUCUUCGGACCUCGCUCGGACGGAGCGGGCGAGGGCCGCGGAGGUUGUUGGUGGGAUUAAAGCUUUCCAAGACGAAGAUCUGUAGCUGGUCUGAGAGAAUGAUCGGCCACACUGGAGGGUGGACACGGCCAAGGCGCCUACGGGAGGCAGCAGUGGGGAAUGUUGGACAAUAGUCGAAAGCCUGACCCAGCCAUGGCGCGUGCAAGACGAAGACCUUGGGGUUGUAAACAGCGUUUGUACGUAACGAAAAGCUUCUGCCUAAGAAGGAGGGGUCAUGACGGUACCGGAAGAAGAAGCACCGGCUAACUACGUG
Molecule: ribosomal RNA, 482 nt
Filed under: uncultured bacterium
Lineage: Bacteria
Description: partial 16S ribosomal RNA
Rfam family: Bacterial small subunit ribosomal RNA
Source: RNAcentral